RNAcentral lists this ribosomal RNA (559 nucleotides) under uncultured bacterium. RNAcentral's name for it is "bacterial SSU rRNA". It matches the Rfam family "Bacterial small subunit ribosomal RNA", at positions 338 to 916 of the family's 1533-position model. The record is from RNAcentral.
CCUACGGGAGGCAGCAGUGGGGAAUCUUGCACAAUGGGGGAAACCCUGAUGCAGCGAUGCCGCGUGAGUGAAGAAGGCCCUUGGGUUGUAAAACUCUUUCGUCGGGGAAGAAAAUGACUGUACCCGAAUAAGAAGGUCCGGCUAACUUCGUGCCAGCAGCCGCGGUAAUACGAAGGGACCUAGCGUAGUUCGGAAUUACUGGGCUUAAAGAGCUCGUAGGUGGUUAAAAAAGUUGAUGGUGAAAUCCCAAGGCUCAACCUUGGAACUGCCAUCAAAACUUUUUAGCUAGAGUGUGAUAGAGGUAAGUGGAAUUUCUAGUGUAGAGGUGAAAUUCGUAGAUAUUAGAAAGAACACCAAAUGCGAAGGCAACUUACUGGGUCACUACUGACACUGAGGAGCGAAAGCAUGGGUAGCGAAGAGGAUUAGAUACCCUCGUAGUCCAUGCCGUAAGCGAUGAGUGCUAGACGUUGGAAAUAUAUUUUUCAGUGUCGCAGCGAAAGCAUUAAGCACUCCGCCUGGGGAGUACGACCGCAAGGUUAAAACUCAAAUGAAUUGACGG